AGAGUUUGAUCCUGCUCAGGAUGAACGCCGGCGGCGUGCCUAACACAUGCAAGUCGAACGGGGACAGACGGAAACCUAGUGAAGUCUGUCCGAGUGGCGGACGGGUGAGUAACGCGUGGAUAACCUGCCGCAUGCAGGGGGAUACCGGCUGGAAACAGCCGCUAAUACCGCAUAAGCGCACGGUGCCGCAUGGCAGAGUGCGAAAAGGAGAAAUCCGGCAAGCGAUGGAUCCGCGUCCGAUUAGCCAGUUGCGGGGUAAGGGCCCACCAAAGCGACGAUCGGUAGCCGGCCUGAGAGGGCGGACGGCCACAUUGGGACUGAGACACGGCCCAGACUCCUACGGGAGGCAGCAGUGGGGGAUAUUGCACAAUGGGGGAAACCCUGAUGCAGCGACGCCGCGUGGGUGAAGAAGUAUUUCGGUAUGUAAAGCCCUAUCAGCAGGGAAGAAAGAAGACGGUACCCGACUAAGAAGCCCCGACUAACUACGUG
RNAcentral lists this ribosomal RNA (489 nucleotides) under uncultured Lachnospiraceae bacterium. RNAcentral describes it as "bacterial SSU rRNA". It matches the Rfam family "Bacterial small subunit ribosomal RNA", at positions 8 to 507 of the family's 1533-position model. Lineage: Bacteria; Bacillati; Bacillota; Clostridia; Lachnospirales; Lachnospiraceae. The record is from RNAcentral.